UACGUAGGGUGCAAGCGUUGUUCGGAAUCAUUGGGCGUAAAGCGCGUGUAGGUGGCUAGUUAAGUUGGAUGUGAAAUCCCUGGGCUCAACCGAGGAAGUGCAUUCAAAACUGGCUGGCUAGAAGAUGGUAGAGGAAGGUGGAAUUCCAAGUGUAGAGGUGAAAUUCGUAGAUAUUUGGAGGAAUACCGGCGGCGAAGGCGGCCUUCUGGGCCAUUCUUGACACUGAGACGCGAAAGCGUGGGGAGCAAACAGG
RNAcentral lists this ribosomal RNA (253 nucleotides) under uncultured bacterium. RNAcentral describes it as "partial 16S ribosomal RNA". It matches the Rfam family "Bacterial small subunit ribosomal RNA", at positions 524 to 776 of the family's 1533-position model. The record is from RNAcentral.